RNAcentral lists this ribosomal RNA (553 nucleotides) under uncultured freshwater bacterium. RNAcentral's name for it is "bacterial SSU rRNA". It matches the Rfam family "Bacterial small subunit ribosomal RNA", at positions 8 to 607 of the family's 1533-position model. The record is from RNAcentral.
AGAGUUUGAUCCUGGCUCAGAACGAACGCUGGCGGCAUGCCUAACACAUGCAAGUCGAACGAGACCUUCGGGUCUAGUGGCGCACGGGUGCGUAACGCGUGGGAACCUGCCUUUAGGUUCGGAAUAACAGUGAGAAAUUACUGCUAAUACCGGAUGAUGUCUUCGGACCAAAGAUUUAUCGCCUUUAGAUGGGCCCGCGUUGGAUUAGCUAGUUGGUGGGGUAAAGGCUUACCAAGGCGACGAUCCAUAGCUGGUCUGAGAGGAUGAUCAGCCACACUGGGACUGAGACACGGCCCAGACUCCUACGGGAGGCAGCAGUGGGGAAUAUUGGACAAUGGGCGAAAGCCUGAUCCAGCAAUGCCGCGUGAGUGAUGAAGGCCUUAGGGUUGUAAAGCUCUUUUACCCGAGAUGAUAAUGACAGUAUCGGGAGAAUAAGCUCCGGCUAACUCCGUGCCAGCAGCCGCGGUAAUACGGAGGGAGCUAGCGUUGUUCGGAAUUACUGGGCGUAAAGCGCACGUAGGCGGCUUUUUAAGUCAGGGGUGAAAUCCCGGNG